Molecule: ribosomal RNA, 560 nt
Filed under: Hesperoperla pacifica
Lineage: Eukaryota; Metazoa; Arthropoda; Insecta; Plecoptera; Perlidae
Description: partial 16S ribosomal RNA
Rfam family: Bacterial large subunit ribosomal RNA
Source: RNAcentral
UCGCCUGUUUAUCAAAAACAUGUCCUCUUGUUUAGAGAAUUUGAGGUCUGACCUGCCCACUGAGAAUUUUAAAGGGCCGCGGUAUUUUGACCGUGCAAAGGUAGCAUAAUCAUUAGUCUUUUAAUUGAAGGCUAGAAUGAAUGGUUGGACGAGGUGCUAGCUGUCUCAGGAUGGAUGAGAGUAGAAUUUAACAUUUAAGUUAAAAGGCUUAAAUUUGUUUAAAGGACGAGAAGACCCUAUAGAGCUUUAUAUUGAUUUCUUGUAGAUGAUCUGGAGAGUUUUAUUUUUAUAGGUACUGAAAAUAUUUUAUUGGGGUGAUAGGAAGAUAAUAGAAACUCUUUUUGAAGAAGAAACAUUAAUUUAUGGGUGAUUGAUCCGUUAUUAGUGAUUAUAAGACUAAGUUACCUUAGGGAUAACAGCGUAAUCUUUUUUGAGAGUUCAUAUCGACAAAAGGGGUUGCGACCUCGAUGUUGGAUUAAGGUAAAUUUUGGGUGUAGAUGUUCAAAUUUUAGGUCUGUUCGACCUUUAAAUCCUUACAUGAUCUGAGUUCAAACCGGAGA